CAGGAGAGGGGGCCCACACCCUGUGCUUGGCCCGUCUCCCCCGGCCAAUGGCCACUGGUCUGUGGGCCUCGGUUUCUCGUCUGUGAAGUGGGCCACGGAAGGCUCUCAGAGGCCCCUCAGCCAGGGAUUACACCCUAUUGUUACCCAGGCUCGGGGCUGAGAUGGGGGUUGCUGCCCACGGGAGGGAGGGGCGCGAUGGUCCUGGGAAGCCAGUCAGGAGGUGCCGCAGGAGCACAGGUGGGCUGUGGAGGGGGAGGGAGUGGCCCCCAGGCCCCCCUGAGGCUGGCCCAGUCCCUGCCCCAGCCGUGACUGGCCAUGGCCCGCUGUGGCCGUCCAUCCCUGUGCCAGGCCCCCUCCUCCAAACGUGCUAAGAACAAAUGCACCCUCAUGCCCUUGGGGACACCCCACUG
Molecule: long non-coding RNA, 410 nt
Filed under: Homo sapiens (human)
Lineage: Eukaryota; Metazoa; Chordata; Mammalia; Primates; Hominidae
Description: HSALNT0068019
Source: RNAcentral